Mus caroli (Ryukyu mouse) is the source of this 1716-nucleotide non-coding RNA. The record is from RefSeq and is a predicted model, not a curated record. Lineage: Eukaryota; Metazoa; Chordata; Mammalia; Rodentia; Muridae.
AUGAAUGUAAACAAUGUGGUAAAGCCUUUGCAGAAAGCAGUACUCUCCAAAUCCAUAACCGAACACAUACAGGAGAGAAACCCUAUGAAUGUAACCAAUGUGGUAAAGCUUUUGUAAGAAGGAGAGACCUCGAAAUACAUAAGCGAACACAUACAGGAGAGAAACCCUAUGAAUGUAACCAAUGUGGUAAAGUCUUUGCAAGCAGUAGUGACCUCCAAAAACAUAAACGAACACAUACAGGAGAGAAACCCUAUGAAUGUAAACAAUGUGGUAAAGCUUUUGCACAAAGCAGUCAUCUCCGAAUACAUAAGCGAACACAUACAGGAGAGAGACCCUAUGAAUGUAACUAGUAUUGUAAAGCCUUUGCAGGAAGCAGUGGUCUCCAAUGCCAUAAAAGGUCACAUACAGGAGAGACACCAUAUGAAUGUAACCAAGGUGGUAAACCCUUUGAAGGAAGAAGUGGUCUUGAAUAUCAUAAUCGAACACACACAGCUGAAAAACCCUAUGAAUGUAACCAAUGUGGUAAAGCCUUUGCAGGAAGGAGUGACCUUUAAAGAGAAAGGACCAUACAGGAGAGAAACUCUAUGUAGGUAUCUGAUGUUAUAAAGCCUUUGCAGCAAGCAUUGAUCUCCAAGUACAUAAAUGAACAUAUACCAGAGAGGAACCUUUUAAACGUAACCAAUGUGGUAAAGCUUUUUCGAAAAACAAUAGUCUUUACACACAGAAAAGCACAUAUAGUUGAGAGAAAUGCUUUGAUUUUAACCAAUGUGGUUAAACUUUUUCAAAAAGCAGUCAUCAACAAAAUCAUNAAAGAACACGUAUAGGAGAGAGAUUUUUGAAUGUUCGCAAUGGUGCUUUUAUAGCUUUUUCACAAAGCAUUGGCCUCCAAAUAUAUAAAGGAACACAUACAGGAGAGAAACUCUAUGAAUAUUGGCAAUGUUUUAAAGCCCUUCCACAUCACAAUUAUCUUCAAAUCUGUAAGGAACAUGAGGUGGAGAGAAAUUCUCUGAAUAACACCAAUUAGGGAAAGCAAUUGUACAAAAGAGUCAUCUCCCAACACAAAAGUAUGCACACUAGAUAGAAACCCUGUGAAUAUAGGCAAUGUGGUAAACAUUUUAUAAGUCACAGUAGUCNCUAAGUAAAUAAAAGGAGACACAGUUGAGAAAAACACUAUGAAAUGAACAAAUGAACCGAGCCUUGUGCAUUAAAAUCUUCAAAUACAUAAAAGAAGACAUAGAGGUGAGAAACCCUAUGUCUACAAGCCAUGUGGUAUUGCUUUCACUUGUCAGUCAUAUUCAAAGACACAAAAGAAAACAAAAUGUAGCAAAAGGCUGAGUGUAUUUAAUAUGGUGAAACUUUUUGAAUAUUUUAGAGUCUUCACAAUGAAACAAUCCAUAUUGCAAAGAAAUUUAGGAAUACAAUAUGGUGAAACCUUUUUAGAUUUCCCAAAUCUUCAUCAUGAACGAGAAACCCAUGAAUGCAUUCAAUAUGGGGAAGCCUUUAAACAUUUCUAAUUCUUCAUCAUCAUGAAAAUAAUCAUACAAAGGAGAUCAAGGGGAUACAAGGCAUGUUUCUUAUUGUCUUGCUUGAGUUACAGUCCUGAUAUCCUUUGGUGAUAAAUAUCAAUGUGGAAAUUGUGAGCUGGAUUAAACCCUUUCCUCCCCAACUGCUUCUUGGUCAUGAUGUGUAUGCAGGAAUAGAAACCCUGACUAAGAC